This 491-nucleotide ribosomal RNA is filed under the name uncultured bacterium. RNAcentral describes it as "partial 16S ribosomal RNA". It matches the Rfam family "Bacterial small subunit ribosomal RNA", at positions 28 to 507 of the family's 1533-position model. The record is from RNAcentral.
GAUGAACGCUGGCUACAGGCUUAACACAUGCAAGUCGAGGGGAAACGACGGGGAAGCUUGCUUCCCCGGGCGUCGACCGGCGCACGGGUGAGUAACGCGUAUCCAACCUGCCUCUGACUGAGGGAUAACCCGUCGAAAGUCGGCCUAAUACCUCAUGGCAUCGUCUGCGGGCAUCCAACGACGAUUAAAGAUUUCAUCGGUCAGAGAUGGGGAUGCGUCUGAUUAGCUUGUUGGCGGGGUAACGGCCCACCAAGGCGACGAUCAGUAGGGGUUCUGAGAGGAAGGUCCCGCACAUUGGAACUGAGACACGGUCCAAACUCCUACGGGAGGCAGCAGUGAGGAAUAUUGGUCAAUGGGCGAGAGCCUGAACCAGCCAAGUAGCGUGCAGGAUGACGGCCCUAUGGGUUGUAAACUGCUUUUAUGCGGGGAUAAAGUGAGGGACGUGUCCUUCAUUGCAGGUACCGCAUGAAUAAGGACCGGCUAAUUCCGUG